AGCGAACGCUGGCGGCAGGCCUAACACAUGCAAGUCGAACGAACCUUUCGGGGUUAGUGGCGGACGGGUGAGUAACACGUGGGACGUGCCUUUAGGUUCGGAAUAACUCAGGGAAACUUGUGCUAAUACCGAAUGUGCCCUUCGGGGGAAAGAUUUAUCGCCUUUAGAGCGGCCCGCGUCUGAUUAGCUAGUUGGUUGAGGUAAUGGCUCACCAAGGCGACGAUCAGUAGCUGGUCUGAGAGGAUGAUCAGCCACAUUGGGACUGAGACACGGCCCAAACUCCUACGGGAGGCAGCAGUGGGGAAUCUUGCGCAAUGGGCGAAAGCCUGACGCAGCCAUGCCGCGUGAAUGAUGAAGGUCUUAGGAUUGUAAAAUUCUUUCACCGGGGACGAUAAUGACGGUACCCGGAGAAGAAGCCCCGGCUAACUUCGUG
This 433-nucleotide ribosomal RNA is filed under the name uncultured bacterium. Its description in RNAcentral is "partial 16S ribosomal RNA". It matches the Rfam family "Bacterial small subunit ribosomal RNA", at positions 29 to 507 of the family's 1533-position model. The record is from RNAcentral.